Molecule: ribosomal RNA, 3013 nt
Filed under: Staphylococcus aureus
Lineage: Bacteria; Bacillati; Bacillota; Bacilli; Caryophanales; Staphylococcaceae
Also listed under: 6 other names
Description: 23S ribosomal RNA
Rfam family: Bacterial large subunit ribosomal RNA
Source: RNAcentral
GGGUUGUGAGGUUAAGCGACUAAGCGUACACGGUGGAUGCCCUGGCAGUCAGAGGCGAUGAAGGGCGUGCUAAUCUGCGAUAAGCGCCGGUAAGGUGAUAUGAACCGUUAUAACCGGCGAUACCCGAAUGGGGAAACCCAGUGUGAUUCGUCACACUAUCAUUAACUGAAUCCAUAGGUUAAUGAGGCGAACCGGGGGAACUGAAACAUCUAAGUACCCCGAGGAAAAGAAAUCAACCGAGAUUCCCCCAGUAGCGGCGAGCGAACGGGGAGGAGCCCAGAGCCUGAAUCAGCAUGUGUGUUAGUGGAAGCGUCUGGAAAGGCGCGCGAUACAGGGUGACAGCCCCGUACACAAAAGCGCAUGUGCUGUGAGCUCGAUGAGUAGGGCGGGACACGUGGUAUCCUGUCUGAAUAUGGGGGGACCAUCCUCCAAGGCUAAAUACUCCUGACUGACCGAUAGUGAACCAGUACCGUGAGGGAAAGGCGAAAAGAACCCCGGCGAGGGGAGUGAAAAAGAACCUGAAACCGUGUACGUACAAGCAGUGGGAGCACAGGUUUACCUGUGUGACUGCGUACCUUUUGUAUAAUGGGUCAGCGACUUAUAUUCUGUAGCAAGGUUAACCGUAUAGGGGAGCCGGAGGGAAACCGAGUCUUAAUUGGGCGUUAAGUUGCAGGGUAUAGACCCGAAACCCGGUGAUCUAGCCAUGGGCAGGUUGAAGGUUGGGUAACACUAACUGGAGGACCGAACCGACUAAUGUUGAAAAAUUAGCGGAUGACCUGUGGCUGGGGGUGAAAGGCCAAUCAAACCGGGAGAUAGCUGGUUCUCCCCGAAAGCUAUUUAGGUAGCGCCUCGUGAAUUCAUCUCCGGGGGUAGAGCACUGUUUCGGCUAGGGGGCCAUCCCGGCUUACCAACCCGAUGCAAACUGCGAAUACCGGAGAAUGUUAUCACGGGAGACACACGGCGGGUGCUAACGUCCGUCGUGAAGAGGGAAACAACCCAGACCGCCAGCUAAGGUCCCAAAGUCAUGGUUAAGUGGGAAACGAUGUGGGAAGGCCCAGACAGCCAGGAUGUUGGCUUAGAAGCAGCCAUCAUUUAAAGAAAGCGUAAUAGCUCACUGGUCGAGUCGGCCUGCGCGGAAGAUGUAACGGGGCUAAACCAUGCACCGAAGCUGCGGCAGCGAACGUAUCACCCAAGACAACUUUACGGAGUUGACGAUUGACGGAGCGAAGCGACGUCAAAGCGUUCAUUAAAGUCGAGUUGGCUUAGGGAUACGUUCGUUGGGUAGGGGAGCGUUCUGUAAGCCUGUGAAGGUGUGUCGUGAGGCAUGCUGGAGGUAUCAGAAGUGCGAAUGCUGACAUAAGUAACGAUAAAGCGGGUGAAAAGCCCGCUCGCCGGAAGACCAAGGGUUCCUGUCCAACGUUAAUCGGGGCAGGGUGAGUCGACCCCUAAGGCGAGGCCGAAAGGCGUAGUCGAUGGGAAACGGGUUAAUAUUCCCGUACUUGGUGUUACUGCGAAGGGGGGACGGAGAAGGCUAUGUUGGCCGGGCGACGGUUGUCCCGGUUUAAGCGUGUAGGUGUGUGUUCCAGGUAAAUCCGGUUCACUUUAACACUGAGGCGUGACGACGAGGCACUACGGUGCUGAAGCAACAAAUGCCCUGCUUCCAGGAAAAGCCUCUAAGCAUCAGGUAACACGAAAUCGUACCCCAAACCGACACAGGUGGUCAGGUAGAGAAUACCAAGGCGCUUGAGAGAACUCGGGUGAAGGAACUAGGCAAAAUGGUGCCGUAACUUCGGGAGAAGGCACGCUGACACGUAGGUGAAGUGAUUUACUCAUGGAGCUGAAGUCAGUCGAAGAUACCAGCUGGCUGCAACUGUUUAUUAAAAACACAGCACUGUGCAAACACGAAAGUGGACGUAUACGGUGUGACGCCUGCCCGGUGCCGGAAGGUUAAUUGAUGGGGUCAGCGCAAGCGAAGCUCCUGAUCGAAGCCCCGGUAAACGGCGGCCGUAACUAUAACGGUCCUAAGGUAGCGAAAUUCCUUGUCGGGUAAGUUCCGACCUGCACGAAUGGCGUAAUGAUGGCCAGGCUGUCUCCACCCGAGACUCAGUGAAAUUGAACUCGCUGUGAAGAUGCAGUGUACCCGCGGCAAGACGGAAAGACCCCGUGAACCUUUACUAUAGCUUGACACUGAACAUUGAGCCUUGAUGUGUAGGAUAGGUGGGAGGCUUUGAAGUGUGGACGCCAGUCUGCAUGGAGCCGACCUUGAAAUACCACCCUUUAAUGUUUGAUGUUCUAACGUGGACCCGUAAUCCGGGUUGCGGACAGUGUCUGGUGGGUAGUUUGACUGGGGCGGUCUCCUCCUAAAGAGUAACGGAGGAGCACGAAGGUUGGCUAAUCCUGGUCGGACAUCAGGAGGUUAGUGCAAUGGCAUAAGCCAGCUUGACUGCGAGCGUGACGGCGCGAGCAGGUGCGAAAGCAGGUCAUAGUGAUCCGGUGGUUCUGAAUGGAAGGGCCAUCGCUCAACGGAUAAAAGGUACUCCGGGGAUAACAGGCUGAUACCGCCCAAGAGUUCAUAUCGACGGCGGUGUUUGGCACCUCGAUGUCGGCUCAUCACAUCCUGGGGCUGAAGUAGGUCCCAAGGGUAUGGCUGUUCGCCAUUUAAAGUGGUACGCGAGCUGGGUUUAGAACGUCGUGAGACAGUUCGGUCCCUAUCUGCCGUGGGCGCUGGAGAACUGAGGGGGGCUGCUCCUAGUACGAGAGGACCGGAGUGGACGCAUCACUGGUGUUCGGGUUGUCAUGCCAAUGGCACUGCCCGGUAGCUAAAUGCGGAAGAGAUAAGUGCUGAAAGCAUCUAAGCACGAAACUUGCCCCGAGAUGAGUUCUCCCUGAGACUUAGAGUCUCCUGAAGGAACGUUGAAGACGACGACGUUGAUAGGCCGGGUGUGUAAGCGCAGCGAUGCGUUGAGCUAACCGGUACUAAUGAACCGUGAGGCUUAACCUUACAACGCCGAAG